GGGAGUUUGAGAUGAUCUGAGAACAGGGAAGACCUGACCUGCUUCAGAAUUGCAGUUGCAAGGGAAAGCAGCAGAUCUGUUUUAUUGAUUUGCUCAAUACAGAAGACGAGGCAAUGCAGCCACUAAGAAGAUCGAUGAGAAUAGCUGCUAAAGCGGCUGCCAGAUCAAAACAAGAGGCUUAACCGCAACUGGCAACAGCACCUAAGCUAAAAAGGCAGAAUCCAGCAGCUGACCAGUGAUGAAGAGGUGAAUGUAAAAGGGACCUGGAAGGAGGAAUGAAAAGGAGCAAGGCAUAAUGAGUUGAGUAUGAAAGGAGAAUGGGAGAAGGAAUUACAAGAGAUGGGUAAAAAUAUUUAUGAGAGGCAUGUGGAGGUUGGAAUGGA
Long non-coding RNA from Podarcis muralis (Common wall lizard), 383 nucleotides. RefSeq lists it as uncharacterized. NCBI's taxonomy places the organism in Eukaryota, Metazoa, Chordata, Lepidosauria, Squamata, Lacertidae. The record is from RefSeq and is a predicted model, not a curated record.